UUUUAUAAUUAAUUUAAUUAAGAUUAUUUAAAAAUAAAAAUUAAAAUUUAAUUAAUUAUUUUGUUGGGGUGACAAAAAAAUAUAAUUAACUUUUUUUAAUAUUUAUCCAUUUAUAAGUGAUUAAAUGAUCCAAUAUUAUUGAU
RNAcentral lists this ribosomal RNA (143 nucleotides) under Eremobia ochroleuca. Its description in RNAcentral is "partial large subunit ribosomal RNA". Lineage: Eukaryota; Metazoa; Arthropoda; Insecta; Lepidoptera; Noctuidae. The record is from RNAcentral.